CCUACGGGAGGCAGCAGUGAGGAAUAUUGCGCAAUGGGCGAAAGCCUGACGCAGCAACGCCGCGUGGGUGAUGAAGGUCUUCGGAUUGUAAAACCCUGUCAGGGGGGAAGAAGGCACCUGGGUGAAUAGCCCAAGGGCUGACGGUACCCCCAGAGGAAGCCACGGCUAACUACGUGCCAGCAGCCGCGGUAAUACGUAGGUGGCUAGCGUUGUCCGGAAUCAUUGGGCGUAAAGCGCGCGUAGGCGGCUUGUCAGGUCUGAGGUAAAAUCUCGGGGCUUAACCCCAAGCGUGCAUCGGAAACCGGCUUGCUAGAGUCUGGGAGAGGAGAGUGAAAUUCCUGGUGUAGCGGUGAAAUGCGUAGAUAUCAGGAGGAACACCGGUUGCGAAGGCGGCUCUCUGGAACAGUACUGACGCUGAGGCGCGAAAGCUAGGGGAGCGAACAGGAUUAGAUACCCGGGUAGU
This 463-nucleotide ribosomal RNA is filed under the name uncultured Thermoleophilia bacterium. Its description in RNAcentral is "partial 16S ribosomal RNA". It matches the Rfam family "Bacterial small subunit ribosomal RNA", at positions 338 to 794 of the family's 1533-position model. Lineage: Bacteria; Bacillati; Actinomycetota; Thermoleophilia. The record is from RNAcentral.